ACUCCUACGGGUAGGCAGCAGUGGGGGAAUAUUGCACAAUGGGCGCAAGCCUGAUGCAGCCAUGCCGCGUGUAUGAAGAAGGCCUUCGGGUUGUAAAGUACUUUCAGCAGUGAGGAAGGUGGGUAUGUUAAUAGCAUAUUCAUUUGACGUUAGCUGCAGAAGAAGCACCGGCUAACUCCGUGCCAGCAGCCGCGGUAAUACGGAGGGUGCGAGCGUUAAUCGGAAUUACUGGGCGUAAAGCGCAUGCAGGUGGUUUGUUAAGUCAGAUGUGAAAGCCCGGGGCUCAACCUCGGAAUUGCAUUUGAAACUGGCAAACUAGAGUACUGUAGAGGGGGUAGAAUUUCAGGUGUAGCGGUGAAAUGCGUAGAGAUCUGAAGGAAUACCGGUGGCGAAGGCGGCCCCCUGGACAGAUACUGACACUCAGAUGCGAAAGCGUGGGGAGCAAACAGGAUUAGAUACCCUCGGUAG
RNAcentral lists this ribosomal RNA (468 nucleotides) under uncultured bacterium. RNAcentral's name for it is "bacterial SSU rRNA". It matches the Rfam family "Bacterial small subunit ribosomal RNA", at positions 335 to 793 of the family's 1533-position model. The record is from RNAcentral.